GAUGAACGCUGGCGGCGUGCCUAAUACAUGCAAGUCGAGCGAACAGACGAGGAGCUUGCUCCUCUGACGUUAGCGGCGGACGUGUGAGUAACACGUGGAUAACCUACCUAUAAGACUGGGAUAACUUCGGGAAACCGGAGCUAAUACCGGAUAAUAUAUUGAACCGCAUGGUUCAAUAGUGAAAGACGGUUUUGCUGUCACUUAUAGAUGGAUCCGCGCCGCAUUAGCUAGUUGGUAAGGUAACGGCUUACCAAGGCAACGAUGCGUAGCCGACCUGAGAGGGUGAUCGGCCACACUGGAACUGAGACACGGUCCAGACUACGACGGGAGGCAGCAGUAGGGAAUCUUCCGCAAUGGGCGAAAGCUUGACGGAGCAACGCCGCGUGAGUGAUGAAGGUCUUCGGAUCGUAAAACUCUGUUAUUAGGGAAGAACAAAUGUGUAAGUAACUAUGCACGUCUUGACGGUACCUAAUCAGAAAGCCACGGCUAACUACGUG
This 497-nucleotide ribosomal RNA is filed under the name uncultured bacterium. RNAcentral describes it as "partial 16S ribosomal RNA". It matches the Rfam family "Bacterial small subunit ribosomal RNA", at positions 28 to 507 of the family's 1533-position model. The record is from RNAcentral.